Molecule: ribosomal RNA, 758 nt
Filed under: uncultured Glomeromycotina
Lineage: Eukaryota; Fungi; Glomeromycota
Description: SSU rRNA
Rfam family: Eukaryotic small subunit ribosomal RNA
Source: RNAcentral
CCUACCAUGGUGGUGACAGGCGACGGAGAAUUAGGGUUCGAUUCCGGAGAGGGAGCCUGAUAAACGGCUACCACAUCCAAGGAAGGCAGCAGGCGCGCAAAUUACCCAAUCCCGACACGGGGAGGUAGUGACAAUAAAUAACAAUACGGGGUUCUUUAGGAUCUCGUAAUUGGAAUGAGUACAAUUUAAAUCUCUUAACGAGGAACAAUUGGAGGGCAAGUCUGGUGCCAGCAGCCGCGGUAAUUCCAGCUCCAAUAGCGUAUAUUAAAGUUGUUGCAGUUAAAAAGCUCGUAGUUGAAUUUCGGGGUUAGUAGGUUGGUCAUGCCUCUGGUAUGUACUGGUCUCACUGAUUCCUCCUUCCUGAUGAACCUUAAUGCCAUUAAUUUGGUGUUUUGGGGAAUUUGGACUGUUACUUUGAAAAAAUUAGAGUGUUUAAAGCAAGCUAACGCUUGAAUACAUUAGCAUGGAAUAAUGAAAUAGGACGUUCGAUCCUAUUUUGUUGGUUUCUAGGAUUGACGUAAUGAUUAAUAGGGAUAGUUGGGGGCAUUAGUAUUCAAUUGUCAGAGGUGAAAUCCUUGGAUUUAUUGAAGACUAACUACUGCGAAAGCAUUUGCCAAGGAUGUUUUCAUUAAUCAAGAACGAAAGUUAGGGGAUCGAAGACGAUCAGAUACCGUCGUAGUCUUAACCAUAAACUAUGCCGACUAGGGAUCGGAUGAUGUUAAUUUUUUAAUGACUCAUUCGGCGCCUUACGGGAAACC